Molecule: non-coding RNA, 72 nt
Organism: Parelaphostrongylus tenuis
Lineage: Eukaryota; Metazoa; Nematoda; Chromadorea; Rhabditida; Metastrongylidae
Source: the annotation of a GenBank genome assembly
GCGUCGGUAGUGCAGUGGUUAGCACGCGCACCAGGAAAGACUGAGGCGAGGGUACAACUCCUGCCCGAGGUU